CUGAUGCAGCCAUGCCGCGUGUGUGAAGAAGGCCUUCGGGUUGUAAAGCACUUUGUUUAUUGAGGAAAGGUGUGGUGUUAAUACCUGAAUACUGUGACGUUAACUGGAGAAGAAGCACCGGCUAACUCCGGGCCCGCGGCCGCGGUAAUACGGAGGGGGCAAGCGUUAAUCGGAAUUACUGGGCGUAAAGCGCGCGUAGGUGGUUUGGUCAGUCAGAUGUGAAAGCCCCGGGCUCAACCUGGGAAUUGCACCUGAUACUGGCAGGCUAGAGUACGGAAGAGGGAAGUGGAAUUUCCGGUGUAGCGGUGAAAUGCGUAAAGAUCGGAAGGAACACCAGUGGCGAAGGCGACUUCCUGGACUGAUACUGACACUGAGGUGCGAAAGCCUGGGGAGCAAACAGGAUUAAAUACCCUGGUAGUCCACGCCGUAAACGAUGUCAACUAGUUGUUGGGAGACUUGAUCUCUUACUAACGAAGCUAACGCGAUAAGUUGACCGACUGGGGAGUACGGCCGCGAGGUUAAAACUCAAA
RNAcentral lists this ribosomal RNA (530 nucleotides) under uncultured Marinobacterium sp. RNAcentral's name for it is "bacterial SSU rRNA". It matches the Rfam family "Bacterial small subunit ribosomal RNA", at positions 383 to 905 of the family's 1533-position model. The record is from RNAcentral. Lineage: Bacteria; Pseudomonadati; Pseudomonadota; Gammaproteobacteria; Oceanospirillales; Oceanospirillaceae.